Cebus imitator (Panamanian white-faced capuchin) is the source of this 110-nucleotide small nuclear RNA. NCBI's taxonomy places the organism in Eukaryota, Metazoa, Chordata, Mammalia, Primates, Cebidae. The record is from Ensembl.
UUGCUUCAGCAGCACGAUACAGAUAAAAAAAAAUUGGAACGAUACAGAGAAGAUGAGCAUGGCCCCUGCGCAAGGAUGAAACGCAAAUUCAUGAAGCGUUCCGUAUAAAA